Cynara cardunculus var. scolymus (artichoke) is the source of this 757-nucleotide long non-coding RNA. RefSeq lists it as uncharacterized. The record is from RefSeq and is a predicted model, not a curated record. The transcript has 4 exons. Lineage: Eukaryota; Viridiplantae; Streptophyta; Magnoliopsida; Asterales; Asteraceae.
AUUGGAAUGGAUGUGUUGCAUCUGAAUUCUAUGAUAACAAAGAUAWAACAUGUUGUUUGAAUUUCAAGGAAGAGGAUCCUUUCGAUCAGGAUGAUUGGGAACAUUAUGCAAAGAUGACAACAGAAAUUGGUGAGCAGCUGCAAGAUGCAAGUUAUGGUUAUGGUUAUGAUCUCUUUGUCACAAAUCCUAAGUGUGUUGACAAAGCAAUCAAGGAGAAGACUUGCAAUGCCCUUCUUAUGAGGGUGGUUCAAUUGUUGGAAACUCCUUAUGUGAAUCUCAUAAAUUAUGCAUCAUAGGUAUUGCAUCUUUUUCUGAUUUCAUUUCUGUUCAUCGUAUCCCGAUUAUCUAGAUCCUCCAUCGUUWACAGAGGUCAGUUUGUUCUUCAGUUGUUUUAUGCAGUUUUGAGAAAUGAUUUCAUUUGAUGUGGCCAUCACUAAAUGUAAACUCGAUUGAAACUAAGAAAUUAGAAGAAAYAGUAACAGUUUGUUGCUAUUAAUUUUUUAUAUGGAAAUAUUAUAGAUGUUUCUGAUUUUCUUAUUUGGGUUGGUGGUUACAAGAACAAAUUGAAUAACAUUGGGGUGUGUUAUGUAACAGGCCAAAUUUGAGCUGAAGAGAUUUGCAAGCUUCAUGAGGUUCUAACAAGUUUGCAAGCUUCAUGAGGUUCUAACAAGUUCUGGGAUGUUUAUCUACAAGUCCAAAGUACUAUUUUAGGGAGCAUGUAAAUUUUCUUAAGGUAAGAUCAAGACUUUCGUGGCUG